CAAAAAUUUUUUUUUUUUGGGGGGGGGGCAAGAGGGGGGGGGGGGGGAGUUUAAAAAAUUGGUUGGGGGUUUUUUUUUUCCUCUUUUGGGGGGGAGGGAAAAAAACCCCGGGGGGAAAACUUUUUGGUUUAAUUUCCCUUAUUAAGUUUUUUUUCGGGGGAAAAACUUUUAUUGGGGCCAAAGGGAAUGGGCCCGGCACUUUGAUUUAGUUUGUUGGUGGGGGUAAUGCCCUUACAAGACCUUUGAUCCAUAGCUGAUUUGAGAGGAUGAUCAGCCACAAUGGGGACUGAGACACGGCCCAAACUCUUACGGGAGGCNAGCAGUAGGGAAUCUUGCACAAUGGAAGAAACUCUGAUGCAGCGAUGCCGCGUGAGUGAAGAAGGCCUUGGGGNUUGUAAAGCUCUUUCGUCGGGGAGAAAAAUGACUGUACCCGAAUAAGAAGGUCCGGCUAACUUCGUGCCAGCAGCCGCGGUAAUACGAAGGGACCUAGCGUAGUUCGGAAUUACUGGGCUUAAAGAGUUCGUAGGUGGUUAAAAAAGUUGGUGGUGAAAUCCCAGAGCUUAACUCUGGAACUGCCAUCAAAACUUUUUAGCUAGAGUAUGAUAGAGGAAAGCAGAAUUUCUAGUGUAGAGGUGAAAUUCGUAGAUAUUAGAAAGAAUACCGAUUGCGAAGGCAGCUUUCUGGAUCAUUACUGACACUGAGGAACGAAAGCAUGGGUAGCGAAGAGGAUUAGAUACCCUCGUAGUCCAUGCCGUAAACGAUGUGUGUUAGACGUUGGAAAUUUAUUUUCAGUGUCGCAGCGAAAGCAAUAAACACACCGCCUGGGGAGUACGACCGCAAGGUUAAAACUCAAAUGAAUUGACGGGGACCCGCACAAGUAGUGGAGCAUGUGGUUUAAUUCGAAGAUACGCGCAGAACCUUACCAACACUUGACAUGUUCGUCGCGACUCUAAGAGAUUAGAGUUUUCGGUUCGGCCGGACGAAACACAGGUGCUGCAUGGCUGUCGUCAGCUCGUGUCGUGAGAUGUUGGGUUAAGUCCCGCAACGAGCGCAACCCUUACUUUUAGUUGCCAUCAUUUAGUUGGGAACUCUGAAAGAACUGCCAGUGAUAAGCUGGAGGAAGGUGGGGAUGACGUCAAGUCCUCAUGGCCCUUAUGUGUUGGGCUACACACGUGCUACAAUGGCAUUUACAAUAGGAAGCAAGAUGGCGACAUCAAGCAAAUCCUAAAAAAAUGCCUCAGUUCGGAUUGUACUCUGCAACUCGAGUACAUGAAGCUGGAAUUACUAGUAAUCGCGGAUCAGCGUGCCGCUUGUCAUUCGCCCG
This 1324-nucleotide ribosomal RNA is filed under the name uncultured bacterium. RNAcentral describes it as "bacterial SSU rRNA". It matches the Rfam family "Bacterial small subunit ribosomal RNA", at positions 71 to 1376 of the family's 1533-position model. The record is from RNAcentral.